CCUACGGGGGGCUGCAGUGAGGAAUAUUGGUCAAUGGACGAGAGUCUGAACCAGCCAAGUAGCGUGAAGGAUGACUGCUCUAUGGGUUGUAAACUUCUUUUAUAAAGGAAUAAAACGAGGCACGUGUGCCUUUUUGUAUGUACUUUAUGAAUAAGGAUCGGCUAACUCCGUGCCAGCAGCCGCGGUAAUACGGAGGAUUCGAGCGUUAUCCGGAUUUAUUGGGUUUAAAGGGAGCGUAGAUGGGUUAUUAAGUCAGUGGUGAAAGUUUGUGGCUCAACCAUAAAAUUGCAGUUGAUACUGGGCGACUUGAGUAUAUUUGAGGUAGGCGGAAUGCGUGGUGUAGGGGUGAAAUGCAUAGA
Molecule: ribosomal RNA, 359 nt
Filed under: uncultured bacterium
Lineage: Bacteria
Description: partial 16S ribosomal RNA
Rfam family: Bacterial small subunit ribosomal RNA
Source: RNAcentral